UACAGAGGGUGCAAGCGUUGUUCGGAAUCAUUGGGCGUAAAGCGCAUGUAGGCUGCUAUCUAAGUCUGGUGUGAAAGCCUGAGGCUUAACCUCAGAAGUGCACUGGAUACUGGAUAGCUCGAGGGCGAGAGAGGAUAGUGGAAUUCCUGGUGUAGGGGUGAAAUCCGUAGAUAUCAGGAGGAACAUCGGUGGCGAAGGCGGCUAUCUGGCUCGUUUCUGACGCUGAGAUGCGAAAGCGCGGGGAGCAAACAGG
RNAcentral lists this ribosomal RNA (253 nucleotides) under uncultured bacterium. RNAcentral's name for it is "partial 16S ribosomal RNA". It matches the Rfam family "Bacterial small subunit ribosomal RNA", at positions 524 to 776 of the family's 1533-position model. The record is from RNAcentral.